CACGCAUGUGGGGAAAAGGUGCUCCUUAGAUCCUUCGUUAGGAUCAAUUUCGGUUCAACCCCACGCAUGUGGGG
This 74-nucleotide transfer RNA is filed under the name Leptospira weilii serovar Topaz str. LT2116. RNAcentral's name for it is "tRNA-Thr". Lineage: Bacteria; Pseudomonadati; Spirochaetota; Leptospiria; Leptospirales; Leptospiraceae. The record is from RNAcentral.